GUCCCUGUAGCGCGAUGGAUAAUGCAUUGGAUUUCUAAUCCAAAAGUCGUGGGCUCGAAUCCCACCUGGGAUG
This 73-nucleotide transfer RNA is filed under the name Trichonephila clavata. It matches the Rfam family "tRNA". From Rfam's summary of the family: Transfer RNA (tRNA) molecules are approximately 80 nucleotides in length. Their secondary structure includes four short double-helical elements and three loops (D, anti-codon, and T loops). Lineage: Eukaryota; Metazoa; Arthropoda; Arachnida; Araneae; Nephilidae. The record is from Rfam by way of RNAcentral.